This is a long non-coding RNA of Siniperca chuatsi (mandarin fish), 1260 nucleotides long. RefSeq lists it as uncharacterized. The transcript is spliced from 3 exons. The record is from RefSeq and is a predicted model, not a curated record. NCBI's taxonomy places the organism in Eukaryota, Metazoa, Chordata, Actinopteri, Centrarchiformes, Sinipercidae.
GUGCUACAUGCGUUGCUUAUUCCUACAGGGGGGGACCCUGUAGGAAUAAGCAAGGCCACAGAAAUUUGCAUCUGAUUGACAAGUUUCAUGUCAUUUCCUUUGGCUUUUAAAGGUAAAACUUCAGACAUCCACACAACCCCACAAUAGGAAUCUUCUCUUAUCUUGGACUCUCAGGUCACAGAUUGGCCUCAGCGGGGACGGUAGGCCUGGCCGGGUCCACUCCAACACUAUCAACAGCAAGGCGAGCAGUCCUGCCAUCACAGAUACACGAAUACAGUCACUCAAAGGCUUCUGAGCAGCAAAACUGAAUGAAAACAAGCUGAUUUGUGCUGGCGAGUAGCAGUUGCUCUAUCUCAGCCCAGUUGAACACCUGUGGAGCAACAUGUUAAUGCUCUCCACCACCAUCAUCGAAACAUCAAAUGAGGGAAUAUCUUUUGAAGAAUGGUGAUCGUCCCUCCAGUAGAGUUCAGAGGCUUGGACAAUCUAUAACAAGGAGCCCUGAAACUGUUCUGGAGGCUCGUGGUGGCCACUUUAUAUUGGUUUUUACUUCUAUCUGUCACCUUUCUUUAUAUUUCUAAUAUUGAAGAUGAAUGUGCUUCCUCUGUACUUGCUGGGGCCUCCUUGGUGUAUUUCUUCUGUACCUGUGGUUAGAGGCAGUAUGAGCAAUUACACUGCAUCAAGUUUGUCAAAAGAAAAAUAUACUAGUAGAUACAGAUUCACUGACUUCACUAUUUUCCAGUCAGUAUUUCCUGCUGCGUUGAACACCAGCUGUGGAACUUGAAACAAGUGUAGAUAAAGGCAAACACUUUAACAAAGUACUCUUGUCAAAUGUACUCAAUGUGUGAGAAGUUCUGUUAAUUGAGUUAUGCACACUCUGAUAGCUCUGGUUCUAACCGAAUCAUUGAAACAGAACUGCAUAACAGAAAAGAGAGUAGAACAGCAAAAAAACGUGAGAGAACAGGAGUUAGACAAGAGCCAGACUGAUGCUGCUAAACAAAGAACAGAAAAGAAGGCAUGCCAGAUUAGUGCCGAUGAUGCUGAAUAUGAUGAUGUUCUCUUGUGAUCAAGACAUCUCAGAAUAAGCUGUAAUAGAAACUACAAAUGGGCUGUUGAUUGUGCAAUAAAGCAAUCAAAGUGAUUUAAAAAAACAACAAAAAAAAACAAUGGUUACUGGUAACAACAGUCAUAACUGCAAAGUGUGUGUUUUCAAAUCAGAUUUUCAGACAGACUUUUGUAUGAUGGAUAAAAAUCCGAUUUUCA